AACAUUGAUUGUUGUGUUCUGGCUUCAGUUCCUUGUUGAUGAGCCUGAGAAUUCUGGCAGCAUACACUUGCUUUUAGCUUCUCCUUGUCUAAAGUUGAAAAUGACAAUGGACUUGGCCAAUUUAUUGAAAAAGAAAAUGGUAGGUGAUGGUUUUCAAUGCUUAGGUUGGAUGGGAAUGCUUUUCUCUCUCACUCUGCCCCCGCAUGCUGGAAAACAAACACCUUAUUUUCUGCAAACGGUGGUCUCCAUUUAUGUCGUGUUUUAAGAGCUUCCCACACAGGUGAUGUAUAUACAUUUUUGGGUGCACACAGGUGUCUUCCAGAGUGCUUUUAAAUAAAGUGUUUGUAACAAAAGUACUUGAUACAAAGAAAUCUGUGAUGUUUUCUUAAGACUAACUUCAAGCAUUUUUUAAGGGGAUUUUUAUGAAAACCGUUUUACAAAUGCUUUCUCACAAAACAAGUAUUGUAGUUUUGAAAAAAUGUCGUAUUGUAACGAAAAUGUGUUAUUGUCAUUA
Molecule: long non-coding RNA, 514 nt
Organism: Cucurbita maxima (winter squash)
Lineage: Eukaryota; Viridiplantae; Streptophyta; Magnoliopsida; Cucurbitales; Cucurbitaceae
Exons: 2
Source: RefSeq, a predicted model, not a curated record